This 852-nucleotide ribosomal RNA is filed under the name Triticum aestivum (bread wheat). Its description in RNAcentral is "partial small subunit ribosomal RNA". The record is from RNAcentral. Lineage: Eukaryota; Viridiplantae; Streptophyta; Magnoliopsida; Poales; Poaceae.
AUGAAGUUGAACGUCGAAGGGGCCUGGUGGGUGGUAACAAAGUUUCUGAGUGCUCAUCGUGGGUUCACGCCGGAGGAGCAGCAGUUUGUAAAGUUGCUCCAUGAUUGCAACCUCCAACCUGGGAGAAUGGUCCACAUCCUAUCAAUGAUACAUAGCAAAAUAGGGAAGCUCAGCAGCAUGCCAUAUCUUCCUUCAGAUGUGGUUAACCUGGUGGCAAAAUGCAUGCAAACCCAUGCCAUGUGUUGCAUGCUAAGGCUGUCAACUAGUUACACGGUGUUUCAAGUCGGCGACUUCACGUACAAGGUUUGCACCAUGCAGGACAUGUCAGACUCCGAAACCGAAGACCCGGACAAAGGAAGAAACUACAUGGUGCCACCAAGGUACAUUCUUGAGUGUUGGUCUUGGAACGCAGAUGAAGCACUCUGCCAGCAUGGCUCACAGCAAGUACUCGCAGAGCAUGAAGAUGGGCCCAACACAACUAUGGCAACAGUCAGGCGUGUGGUAAUGACAAGGAGAUUUACCAACAUAGCGGAUGAGGCUUGCAAAUAUGAUGUGAUGAGUAGAGCAGUUGAGAGGCACACAAACGCGCUAGAAAGAGAAUUGGAGUCAAUCAAGAGGAGAAUGGAGGAGGAGGCACUACAUCGAUUCCCAAAGAAAAGCAAGACUGCUCCUACGUCAACAGGGCCAUCAACAGAAAACUCAGAGGUUGGUUCCGGCGCAUCCAACACGCACACACACGUGAGGAACCCUCCAAGGACAGUCACUAAAGGGCGACCAAAACAGAUAAGAUACAAGUCAGCACUCGAGAUCCAAGCAAAGCACAAGAAGCCUACAAUGAAGACAGCGGCGUAA